GACGAACGCUGGCGGCGUGCCUAACACAUGCAAGUCAACGAGAAAAGGGUAGCAAUAUCCUGAGUAAAGUGGCGCACGGGUGAGUAACACGUAGGUAAUCUGCCAUUAGGACGGGGACAACCACGCGAAAGCGUGGCUAAUACCCGAUGAAUCAGCGGCGCCGCAUGGCGUUGUUGUUAAAUACCGCAAGGUGCCUGGUGAUGAACCUGCGUCCCAUUAGGUAGUUGGUGAGGUAACGGCUCACCAAGCCGACGAUGGGUAGCUGGUCUGAGAGGAUGAUCAGCCACACUGGAACUGAGACACGGUCCAGACUCCUACGGGAGGCAGCAGUGAGGAAUAUUGCGCAAUGGCCGAAAGGCUGACGCAGCGACGCCGCGUGAAGGAU
This 385-nucleotide ribosomal RNA is filed under the name uncultured bacterium. RNAcentral's name for it is "bacterial SSU rRNA". It matches the Rfam family "Bacterial small subunit ribosomal RNA", at positions 28 to 409 of the family's 1533-position model. The record is from RNAcentral.